RNAcentral lists this ribosomal RNA (492 nucleotides) under uncultured bacterium. Its description in RNAcentral is "partial 16S ribosomal RNA". It matches the Rfam family "Bacterial small subunit ribosomal RNA", at positions 29 to 507 of the family's 1533-position model. The record is from RNAcentral.
AGUGAACGCUGGCGGUAGGCCUAACACAUGCAAGUCGAGCGGCAGCACAGUAAGAGCUUGCUCUUACGGGUGGCGAGUGGCGGACGGGUGAGGAAUACAUCGGAAUCUACUUUUUCGUGGGGGAUAACGUAGGGAAACUUACGCUAAUACCGCAUACGACCUACGGGUGAAAGCAGGGGAUCUUCGGACCUUGCGCGAUUGAAUGAGCCGAUGUCGGAUUAGCUGGUUGGCGGGGUAAAGGCCCACCAAGGCGACGAUCCGUAGCUGGUCUGAGAGGAUGAUCAGCCACACUGGAACUGAGACACGGUCCAGACUCCUACGGGAGGCAGCAGUGGGGAAUAUUGGACAAUGGGCGCAAGCCUGAUCCAGCCAUACCGCGUGGGUGAAGAAGGCCUUCGGGUUGUAAAGCCCUUUUGUUGGGAAAGAAAAGCAGCAGGUUAAUACCCCGCUGUUCUGACGGUACCCAAGGAAUAAGCACCGGCUAACUUCGUG